UACGUAGGCAGCGAGCGUUGUUCGGAGUUACUGGGCGUAAAGAGUGCGUAGGCGGUUUUCUAAGUUUGGUGUGAAAUCUCCCGGCUUAACUGGGAGGGUGCGCCGAAAACUGGAAGGCUUGAGUAUGGGAGAGGUAAGCGGAAUUCCUGGUGUGAGCGGUGAAAUGCGUAGAUAUCAGGAGGAACACCGGUGGCGAAGGCGGUUCUCUGGGCAUUACCUGACGCUGAGGAGCGAAAGUGUGGGGAGCGAACAGG
Molecule: ribosomal RNA, 254 nt
Filed under: uncultured bacterium
Lineage: Bacteria
Description: partial 16S ribosomal RNA
Rfam family: Bacterial small subunit ribosomal RNA
Source: RNAcentral